Molecule: small RNA, 79 nt
Filed under: Escherichia coli
Lineage: Bacteria; Pseudomonadati; Pseudomonadota; Gammaproteobacteria; Enterobacterales; Enterobacteriaceae
Also listed under: 1 other name
Description: partial RtT sRNA
Rfam family: RtT RNA
About the family: This family represents a bacterial cis-regulatory element known as RtT RNA.
Source: RNAcentral
AUUCUGCCCAAGCGGGGAAGGAUGAGAAGCUUCGACCAAGGUUCGACUUGAGCGCCAGCGAGAGAGCGUUGCCGCAGGC